Molecule: ribosomal RNA, 616 nt
Filed under: Longidorus moesicus
Lineage: Eukaryota; Metazoa; Nematoda; Enoplea; Dorylaimida; Longidoridae
Description: eukaryotic LSU rRNA
Rfam family: Eukaryotic large subunit ribosomal RNA
Source: RNAcentral
GGAAAUAGUAGCGUUCGUUCGAUGCAUUUCCAGAGGGUAUGCGCCGCGACCGAUACGAAAGGCUAGUGAAUCUGGCGAAUUGAGGUGGAAAACCCUUCGGGGUCUUCAGUACCAGUUCGUCGGCCUAUAGUCGCUAGACCGCAGUAUGUAUCGAGCGCGGAAUAUAUCGAACACUGGCAAGAAUGCUCGCUUAAGUGAUGGAUAGUCGUCGGAAUAUUCCGUACCUGCUCGCAGGUUAUGUUUAUUCCCGUUCGGCUUUUGAAGUCACGGGCGAGUUAUAGUGUUCGGGCGUCAGCGGCGUCCGAGACGGUCAACCGUCCGACCCGUCUUGAAACACGGACCAAGGAGUCUAACGUACGCGCGAGCUAAUGAGUGGAAAACUCAUAAGCGCAAUAAAAGUAAAAGCCGUUUCCGACGGCGUGGGGUACGAUCCCAGUGUAUUUAUUUACACCGGGCGCAGUACCAUCCCAUCCUGAUCGCUCGUCGAUAGGGUGGAGACUGAGUGCAUACGUUGGGACCCGAAAGAUGGUGAACUAUGCCUGAGCAGAGCGAAGCCAGAGGAAACUCUGGUGGAGGUUCGUAGCGGUUCUGACGUGCAAAUCGAUCGUCAGACUGG